RNAcentral lists this ribosomal RNA (209 nucleotides) under uncultured bacterium. RNAcentral describes it as "partial 16S ribosomal RNA". It matches the Rfam family "Bacterial small subunit ribosomal RNA", at positions 568 to 774 of the family's 1533-position model. The record is from RNAcentral.
CGUGUAGGCGGUUGGAAAAGUCAGGUGUGAAAUUCUUCGGCUCAACCGGGGGACUGCGCCUGAAAACUUUCCGACUGGAGUUCGGGAGGGGGCAACUGGAAUUCCUGGUGUAACGGUGAAAUGUGUAGAUAUCAGGAGGAACACCCGUGGCGAAGGCGGGUUGCUGGACCGAAACUGACGCUGAGACGCGAAAGCGUGGGUAGCAAACA